Molecule: transfer RNA, 57 nt
Filed under: Macropostrongyloides woodi
Lineage: Eukaryota; Metazoa; Nematoda; Chromadorea; Rhabditida; Strongylidae
Description: tRNA-Asn
Source: RNAcentral
UAAGAGUUAGUUUAUAUUAGAAUUAUUGACUGUUAAUCAAGAGGAAGAGCUCUUAAA